RNAcentral lists this long non-coding RNA (811 nucleotides) under Manacus vitellinus (golden-collared manakin). RNAcentral describes it as "lncRNA (ENSMVIG00005008054.1)". Lineage: Eukaryota; Metazoa; Chordata; Aves; Passeriformes; Pipridae. The record is from RNAcentral.
AAAAUAUUGAUGAGUAUCAGGUUUUUUAACUGCUCAGAGGAAGGGGGGUGGAAUGCACAAUCUUAAGAAAAUGACAUUAAUCAGAAGAACUGUCCUUUAUUCUAACACUCACUGUUCAUAAUGGAGCAGGAGAGCAGCACAGCAAUGGAAAACUCGCCUUUACCUUCCUGAUCAUCAUCUCAUCCUUGCUGUUUGUGUACAGCUCCACUGUGUUCACCUUCUUUGUGGUCUACAAGUUAAAACCAAAGCUGCUGAAGAAAAGUGGAAAAGACCAAAGAACAGAGAACUGUAAAAUAAAUAGUGGACGAAAAGUUUUUCAAGCAAUAGCCCAAGAACUUCAAAAGCAGGGGUUUGCUGAGCACUGCCAACAGCCUGAUGACUUGGAAGCUGACACUGUUUACCAGAACAGAUGAGCACGUGCAGCAGUUCAGAUUUGUUCGGUGUUUGUCGUGCAAGCAAAGGGGCAGGUGAAGAAGUGAAGCUUCUUCACAGACCUCCUUUGCUGUAAAGGAAGGUGAAGAACACUGCCCUGCAAGGUUUUCUUGAGAGAAUCUUCUAAACAGAUCACCAAACCCAAGGGCAUUGUGCAUUACACCUGUGUUACAUAUUCCAUUGUCCAUUCUGCAGGAGUGAAAACCGUGGGGAAAAAAGAGUUCAUCUCUCAUAAGACAACUGCUGAUGCUUCAGAAAAGUCUCCUUUUUCAGUUUAGAUUUAAUUCUGUGUCUUUGUUUUCUUUUUACAUAAACUUAUAUGUAUUCCUUUUACAUGAAUCGAGCACUUGUGAAAGAUGUAUGAUAAUUGACAGCAACA